This 478-nucleotide long non-coding RNA is filed under the name Capra hircus (goat). Its description in RNAcentral is "lncRNA (ENSCHIG00000004472.1)". Lineage: Eukaryota; Metazoa; Chordata; Mammalia; Artiodactyla; Bovidae. The record is from RNAcentral.
UGUUCAUUAAGGAAGAAAGGAGAAAAUCAUAGAGUGAAAUGUUAAUUGGAAAAGAACACACUUAUUCAGCAAUGCUUGAAGAGGCCUCAAAGUCACCAAAGAGGACAUUCUAUUUUUAUUCUUCAUUUGAAAGGGGUGGACCUCUCAUUGGAUCUGUCCUCAUAGGAGAACUUUCAUGGGGAGAACCAGUCUCGUGCAGAGAGGCCAAGCAAAUGGAGACCAGCCUUCCAUCUCCUCUGAGCUCAGCUUCCCAUCACUCAUCCAAGUGGAAGGAGCAGAUAGUGAGAGAACAAGUCACAUGACAGAAGUUAGAGGGAGGGCCAGCCACAGCCAAGCCAGUCUGGACAAGAGGCCAUCAAUGUCAUCUCUUUGGCCACUUAAAACCAAGAACGCUCAGAUAACGACCCUGCUGUUCUGGAUGAGGGGAACGAGAAUAGAAAGACGGACAAUUAAUGCCGCUCAAUGUCUUUUCUUUUUG